UAUCGCAUUUAAGUUAUGAAAAUAUAUUUGAAAAAAAUAUUAUAAAAAAAAUUGGAAAAGGAAAAAUUGCAGUUUUCUUGCUCUUUUGCCUUCGGGUUCUAAAGUAUAAAUUUGUAUUAAACUUAUUAAGUUAUUAAAAAAUAUCGGAAUUUUUUACUAACAUGACAAAAUUAUAUUAUGCAAUUGAAAAAAUAUUGCAUACCUUCCGGGUGAGAAAACAAAAAUGAGCAAAAAGUCUUCAACGUAAUGGUCGAAUUCAAGAGUUAAAUAGCCAACUGGAAAUUUCUUUUAUUUAUGAGAUAAAAAACACUUAAUAUUAUUGUAUAUAUACAUACUUAUAACUACAACUAUACACGAAACAAAAUAGAAGAAAAUGGUAUUAAAUGCAAAGCAGAAGAAGAAGAAGAGCAAAAUAUUAAAAAAAAAAAAAACAAACAAACAAUAAAACAACAAAAUGAGAAUCAAAAUAAAAA
Molecule: long non-coding RNA, 473 nt
Organism: Condylostylus longicornis
Lineage: Eukaryota; Metazoa; Arthropoda; Insecta; Diptera; Dolichopodidae
Exons: 2
Source: RefSeq, a predicted model, not a curated record